AAGAGAUUAUAGAAUAUAGGAAAAGCUGCUAACUAUUUCCUAAAGCGGUUUAACUCCGUUUAACUCUUA
RNAcentral lists this transfer RNA (69 nucleotides) under Mesargus serrata. RNAcentral describes it as "tRNA-Ser". Lineage: Eukaryota; Metazoa; Arthropoda; Insecta; Hemiptera; Cicadellidae. The record is from RNAcentral.